Molecule: transfer RNA, 72 nt
Filed under: Dipodomys ordii (Ord's kangaroo rat)
Lineage: Eukaryota; Metazoa; Chordata; Mammalia; Rodentia; Heteromyidae
Rfam family: tRNA
About the family: Transfer RNA (tRNA) molecules are approximately 80 nucleotides in length. Their secondary structure includes four short double-helical elements and three loops (D, anti-codon, and T loops).
Source: Rfam by way of RNAcentral
GAGGGUACAGCUCAAUGGUAGUGCACUUGCCUAGCAUGCAAUAAGACCCAGGUUCGAUUCCCAGUUCUCCCU